GUGCCAGCCGCCGCGGUAAAACGUAGGAGACAAACGUUAUCCGGAGUUACUGGGCGUAAAGGGCGUGCAGGUGGUCUGUUAAGUCUGGCGUGAAAGCUCUCGGCUAAACCGGGAGAGGUCGUUGGAUACUGGCGGACUAGAGGACGGUAGAGGCGAGUGGAAUUCCGGGUGUAGUGGUGAAAUGCGUAGAGAUCCGGAGGAACACCAGUGGCGAAGGCGACUCGCUGGGCCGUACCUGACACUCAAACGCGACAGCAUGGGGAGCGAACGGGAUUAGAUACCCUGGUAGUCC
Molecule: ribosomal RNA, 292 nt
Filed under: uncultured bacterium
Lineage: Bacteria
Description: partial 16S ribosomal RNA
Rfam family: Bacterial small subunit ribosomal RNA
Source: RNAcentral